RNAcentral lists this ribosomal RNA (702 nucleotides) under uncultured bacterium. RNAcentral describes it as "bacterial SSU rRNA". It matches the Rfam family "Bacterial small subunit ribosomal RNA", at positions 77 to 795 of the family's 1533-position model. The record is from RNAcentral.
AGCUUGCUAAAUGGACUCAUGGCGGACGGGUGAGUAACGCGUAAAGAACUUGCCCUUUAGACUGGGAUAACAGAGGGAAACUUCUGAUAAUACUGGAUAAGUUAGUAUAUCGCAUGAUAUGCAAAUGAAAGCUACGGCACUAAAGGAGAGCUUUGCGUCCUAUUAGCUAGUUGGUAAGGUAAGAGCUUACCAAGGCGAUGAUAGGUAGCCGGCCUGAGAGGGUGGACGGCCACAAGGGGACUGAGAUACGGCCCUUACUCCUACGGGAGGCAGCAGUGGGGAAUAUUGGACAAUGGAGGGAACUCUGAUCCAGCAAUUCUGUGUGUGUGAAGAAGGUUUUAGGACUGUAAAACACUUUUAGUAGGGAAGAAAAAAAUGACGGUACCUACAGAAGAAGCAACGGCUAAAUACGUGCCAGCAGCCGCGGUAAUACGUAUGUUGCGAGCGUUAUCCGGAAUUAUUGGGCUUAAAGGGCAUCUAGGCGGUAAGACAAGUUGAAGGUGAAAACCUGUGGCUCAACCAUAGGCUUGCCUACAAAACUGUUGAACUAGAGUACUGGAAAGGUGGGUGGAACUACACGAGUAGAGGUGAAAUUCGUAGAUAUGUGUAGGAAUGCCGAUGAUGAAGAUAACUCACUGGACAGAAACUGACGCUGAAGUGCGAAAGCUAGGGGAGCAAACAGGAUUAGAUACCCUGGUAGUC